UUCCAGUCGGAACAGGAUUCAGGCUGUCCCCGGAAGAGCCUGUGUGAGAUGGCGGUCGGUACUCGGACCGUUUGGUAGUUUUUGGGUUUUUUAGCUCCUCAGCCGAACCGAACCGUCUGCCUUACGGGAGCCUGAGUUGAGGCCGCUAUGGAGGGGGGUAAACCGAGCCUGACGCUGGUCUACCAGGCGGUCCAGGCCCUGUACCACGACCCGGAUCCGUCCGGGAAGGAACGAGCCUCGCUGUGGCUCGGAGAGUUGCAGAGAUCGAUGUUUGCCUGGGAGAUCUCGGACCAGCUGCUGCAGCUGAAGCAGGACGUGGAGUCGUGUUACUUCGCGGCUCAGACCAUGAAGAUGAAGAUCCAGACUUCCUUCUACGAGCUUCCUCCAGAGACCCACAAUGCACUGCGGGACUCCCUGCUGACCCACAUCCAGAACCUCAAAGACCUGUCGCCCAUCAUCGUCACUCAGCUGGCCCUGGCCAUCGCUGACCUCGCUCUGCAGAUGGCGUCCUGGAAGGGCUGCGUUCACACGCUCAUAGAGAAGUACAACGAGGACGCAGGCUCCAUGCCGUUCCUCAUCGAGAUCCUGACGGUCCUGCCGGAGGAAGUUCACAGCCGGUCGCUGCGGAUCGGCGCCAACCGCCGCACCGAGAUCAUCGAGGACCUGGCCUUCUACUCCAACACCGUGAUCGCCCUGCUGACGUCCUGCGUGGAGAAGGCGGGCGGCGAUGAGAAGAUGCUCAUCAAGGUGUUCCGUUGCCUGGGCAGUUGGUUCAACCUGGGCGUCCUGGACAGCAACUUCAUGGCCAGCAACCAGCUGCUGAUGGUCCUGUUCCAGAUCCUGCAGAGGGACGAGACGUCCACCAACCUGCAUGAGGCGGCGUCGGACUGCGUGUGCUCGGCGCUGUACGCCAUCGAGAGCGUGGACACCAACGUGGCUCUGGCGCUGCAGCUGUUCCAGGGCGUGCUGACGCUGGAGACGGCCUACCACAUGGCCGUGGCCCGCGAGGACCUGGACAAGGUGCUGAACUACUGCCGGAUCUUCACGGAGCUCUGCGAGACGUUCCUAGAGACGACGGUCCGGACGCCGGGUCAGGGCAUGGGCGACCUGAGAACGCUGGAGCUGCUGCUGAUCUGCGCCGGACACCCGCAGUACGAGGUCGUGGAGAUCUCCUUUAACUUCUGGUACCGCCUGGGCGAGCAUCUCUACAAGAUCAACGACGCCAACCUGCACGGCGUUUUCCGGCCGUACAUCCAGCGGCUGCUGCACUGCCUGGCCCGCCACUGCCAGCUCGACCCGGACCACGAGGGAAUUCCGGAGGAAACGGACGACUUUGGGGAGUUCAGGAUGAGAGUAUCGGACCUGGUGAAGGAUGUGAUCUUCCUGGUCGGCUCCAUGGAGUGCUUCUCUCAGCUGUACUCCACCCUGAAGGACGGGAACCCGCCCUGGGAGGUGACGGAGGCCGUCCUCUUCAUCAUGGCUUCCAUCGCCAAGAGCGUCGACCCGGAGAACAACCCGACGGUGGCCGAGGUGCUGCAGCAGGUGGUGCUGCUGCCGGAGAGCGUGCACAUGGCCGUGCGCUACACCAGCAUCGAGCUGGUGGGGGAGAUGAGCGAGGUGGUGGACCGGAACCCGCGCUUCCUGGACCCGGUUCUGAACUACCUGAUGAAGGGCCUGAGGGAGAAGCCGCUGGCGUCGGCGGCGGCCAAGGCCAUCCACAACAUCUGCUCGGUCUGCCGCGACCACAUGGCCCAGCACUUCCAGGGGCUGCUGGACAUCGCCCGCUCCCUCGACUCCUUCGCCCUGUCCACCGAGGCCGCCGUGGGCCUCCUCAAAGGUACGGCGCUGGUUCUGGCCCGGCUGCCUCUGGAGAAGAUCGCGGAGUGCCUCAGCGACCUGUGCGCCGUUCAGGUUCUGGCUUUGAAGAAGCUGCUGGCGGAGCGGUCCAGGAACGGGAAGUCGGCCGACCCGACGGCGUGGCUGGACCGACUGGCUGUCAUCUUCAGACACACGAACCCCAUCGUGGAGAACGGCCAGACUCACCCGUGCCAGAAGGUGAUCCAGGAGAUCUGGCCCGUCCUGUCGGAGACGCUCAACGCCCACCAGGCUGAUAAUCGCAUCGUGGAGCGUUGCUGCCGCUGCCUGCGCUUCGCCGUGCGCUGCGUCGGGAAAGGCUCCGCCUCCCUGCUGCAGCCGCUCGUCACUCAGAUGGUGAGCGUCUACCAGGUGUACCCGCACUCCUGCUUCCUGUACCUGGGCAGCAUCCUGGUGGACGAGUACGGCAUGGAGGAGGGCUGCAGGCAGGGGCUGCUGGACAUGCUGCAGGCGCUGUGUAUGCCCACCUUCCAGCUGCUGGAGCAGCCCAACAGCCUGAGGAACCACCCGGACACCGUGGACGACCUGUUCAGACUGGCCACCAGGUUCGUCCAGAGGAGUCCCGUCACGUUGCUAGGCAGCAGCAUCGUGGUCCACAUCAUCCAGUGCGCCAUCGCCGCCACGUCGCUCGACCACCGGGACGCCAACUGCAGCGUCAUGAAGUUCAUCCGAGACCUGAUCCACACCGGAGUCGGCAACGACCACGAGGAGGACUUUGCGCUGCGGAAGCGUCUGAUUGGUCAGGCCAUGGAGCAGAACGGCCAGCAGCUCAUCAACCAGCUGCUGCACUCCUGCUGCUUCUGCCUGCCGCCGUACACGCUGCCCGACGUGGCCGAGGUCCUCUGGGAGGUCAUGCUGUUCGACCGACCCAUGUUCUGCCGCUGGCUGGAGAACGCGCUGAAGGGGUUGCCGAAGCAGACGGCGGGCGGCGCCGUGACCGUCACCCACAAGCAGCUGACCGAGUUCCACAAGCAGGUGACCAGGUGAGUCCGGCGGGUCGGUACCGGGCUGCACCGAGGCUGGGUGAUUGAUUUCACUUUUAGAAAAUCAGAAUGUUUUUCCACCAAUCGCCUCCUUGGGAUUCAGUGAUGUCAUGGAGCCCAAGGCGGCAAUCUUGUUUGACUUUAUGAUGGAGUUUAUGUAGAAGAAACUGAGCUGCUCACAUCAGAUGCUUAUUUUAUGGUUUUAUUCAUAAAUAAAAAUGGGAAUUCAAAAUAAACAUUUUCUAACCCUGGGCUGAUCAUUCAGGAGGUGGACUGAAAGAAAAUCCACUGUCAGUUGUAAUUUCUUUUUUUUAAUCGAUAUAAAAAAAUCAGGUUUUAUUUUCAUCCAUGUCGCCCAGCCUCCGUUCCUCUCAUGAUGUUAGCCGCUGCUACUUCCUGUUGGUUCUGUGGUUGCCAUGCCGACAGCAAACUGAAGAGUUUGUGUUGGAUCCCAGUUCAUGUUCUGACCCGAUCAGCCUCCGGCGAAGGCGUCGGGAUGACUCAUCGUGAGGCGUUCAGGGGCCGUCAGCUCGUGUUGGGACCGGCCCAGCGGAGGGCGGGGCGCUGCUGGAUCAGAACCCGAUCAGUAUCGGCGGGAGCGGGUCCAGACUCGCCCUGCCCUGAGACCAGAAGGCCUUCAUGUGUGUGUUUCU
Molecule: RNA transcript, 3511 nt
Organism: Xiphophorus hellerii (green swordtail)
Lineage: Eukaryota; Metazoa; Chordata; Actinopteri; Cyprinodontiformes; Poeciliidae
Gene: tnpo3
Gene name: transportin 3
Exons: 22
Source: RefSeq, a predicted model, not a curated record